RNAcentral lists this long non-coding RNA (463 nucleotides) under Brassica napus (rape). RNAcentral describes it as "long non-coding RNA (BNAP_LNC013858)". Lineage: Eukaryota; Viridiplantae; Streptophyta; Magnoliopsida; Brassicales; Brassicaceae. The record is from RNAcentral.
GUUUUAUUGUAGGUGGGUCACAUGGUUUGUUGUGGUCUCGUGAAGACAAUGUUGUGUGAUAUGUUGUGGUCUCGUGACAUAAGAAGACAAUGUUGUGUGAUAUGUUGUGGUCUCAUGACAGAAGAAGACAAUGUUCUGUGAUAUGUUGUUGUGGUCUCGUGUAAGAUAUUUGUUUUGUAAUGUAUGUUGUAACAACUUGUAUUGUUUCACGUUUCUUUUUAAUUUAUACCAACCAAAUGGAACUUCUCUUUAUAAACUUCAACAACAACACUCAAAUGCUCUAACAUUUAACCGAGCAAAACAAAACAACAACAACACUCAAAUGCUCUCAAGCCUUUCCAUUUAUAAACUUUGUUUUUCUUUAUAAACUUUGUUCUUCUUCACAUUUCUUCAUAUCUUUCCGCUUUAAGCAUUCUCGUUUGGUUAAAAACUUUUUUUAAUGGCAUUUUCUUCUAAUAAUUUC